RNAcentral lists this ribosomal RNA (413 nucleotides) under uncultured Sphingobacterium sp. RNAcentral describes it as "bacterial SSU rRNA". It matches the Rfam family "Bacterial small subunit ribosomal RNA", at positions 107 to 518 of the family's 1533-position model. The record is from RNAcentral. Lineage: Bacteria; Pseudomonadati; Bacteroidota; Sphingobacteriia; Sphingobacteriales; Sphingobacteriaceae.
UGCGUAACGCGUGAGCAACCUACCUCUAUCAGGGGGAUAGCCUCUCGAAAGAGAGAUUAACACCGCAUAAUAUAAUGUACCGGCAUCGGGAUAUUAUUAAAUAUUUAUAGGAUAGAGAUGGGCUCGCGUGACAUUAGCUAGUUGGUAGGGUAACGGCUUACCAAGGCGACGAUGUCUAGGGGCUCUGAGAGGAGAAUCCCCCACACUGGUACUGAGACACGGACCAGACUCCUACGGGAGGCAGCAGUAAGGAAUAUUGGUCAAUGGGCGGAAGCCUGAACCAGCCAUGCCGCGUGCAGGAUGACUGCCCUAUGGGUUGUAAACUGCUUUUGUCCAGGAAUAAACCUAGAUACGUGUAUCUAGCUGAAUGUACUGGAAGAAUAAGGAUCGGCUAACUCCGUGCCAGCAGCCGC